CGCUGCGGAGUAGCCUGGUACCUGUGUGAUUUGUCAUCAACAUAAACAGAGAGAAGUAGCUCCAGCUACAAUGUUCUUCUACAAGACACACGCAGUUCUGUUUAUUAACCUCUAGAGCAGGGGUGCCCAACACUGCUCCUGGCGAUCGAUUGUCCUGCAAUGUUUAGCUCCAACCCUAAUCAAACACACCUGCCUUUAAUUUUUGAGUGAGCCUGAAGACCUUAAUUAGUUGCUUCAGGUGUGUUUGAUAAGGGUUGCUGAACUUUGCAGGACAGUCGAUCGCCAGGAGCAGGGUUGGGCACCCCUGCUCUAGAGUGACAAAAAUUAUGGACUGCAGCUUUAAGUCAGAAGAGUCUAUCAAGUGUGUCAGUUUUCAAUAUACCCAAAAUAUACAAGUUGGGUAGGGUUCCCAAACCACCAGGGGCCAACUUGCUCUGAAAGUAGUGAAUCACUAUAUCAUACUCGGAUAUCAUGCAGUGUGGGCCACUCUGCUCUAUCUAUCUGGAGCAUAAAAAAGAAAAGAAAAGUGCCAAGAACGUGAAGAAAAUAAGUAACAAGAAGGUAUGAUUUGUAAUAUUUUACAUUGCUAUAUAUAGUUUUGAAUGUGUCAGGUGUGUUUUGAUAGAAAUGCCCUAUGAUGAAAUGUAAUUUCAAUGCAAUUGCAAAAUGCAAAAUGCAAUUUGUGCCAG
This is a long non-coding RNA of Cyprinus carpio carpio, 689 nucleotides long. The record is from Ensembl. Lineage: Eukaryota; Metazoa; Chordata; Actinopteri; Cypriniformes; Cyprinidae.